This is a long non-coding RNA of Triticum dicoccoides, 2136 nucleotides long. RefSeq lists it as uncharacterized. Lineage: Eukaryota; Viridiplantae; Streptophyta; Magnoliopsida; Poales; Poaceae. The transcript is spliced from 3 exons. The record is from RefSeq and is a predicted model, not a curated record.
UUGCAACCUGUUGUCAAUACCAGCAACAAACUACUCACAUGUAAGUAUUGAAGGAUACAUCUUGGAACGAUGAAGUUUCCAAUCCUCAGGGCAAAUGAUAGAAAACCAGCUGGUGAACAUAAUUGCAACCUGUUGUCAAUACCAGCAACAAACUACUCACAUGUAAGUAUUGAAGGAUACAUCUUGGAACGAUGAAGUUUCCAAUCCUCAGGGCAAAUGAUAGAAAACCAGCUGGUGAAGCUGCUUAUCGCCUCGCGUCGAACUUUUCAGUUCAGGAUAUUAUCUCCUUAUUUUUUGCUAUGUUCUGUUUAGGUUCAUUAUAUGAUGCCGUUUGAACAUUUACCCUUGUUGAUAAAAGAUAAGUAGAUUUAGCAUACUCCUUCAGAGGGCCGCGCCUUGCUCGGUUGGCAAGGUGGUGAGCGAUCCGAGUUUGCCUCUGUGAUGUGUGCUUAUAUUAAGGUGGAUAAAAUCUACCCCGUAACACGCAAAAAGAAAAUGUGGUGCAAUGAGAGAGGAGAUGUAGGGCUAUGUGUGGCACUGGGAAGAAGAAGACACAAAUCCAAGGCGGUGCAAGGGGCACAAUGAGAGCACCAUGGGUGAAACAAACCGUGGUGGGAGGGUGCCACUGGCAUGGACACAUCUAGCUUGCGAGAAGGGUGUUUAACAAAAUCUCAGUUUAGAUUGUUAUGAAAUUUUAGUUUAGACCAUUUGUAUCUAAAACUAUACAUGUUAUUAUGACGGCUAUUAUGAAAAAAAUGAUUUGGUAAUUAGGAGAAGAAAUUCAUAAGAUUACGUGCGUUGCACGUGCACGCUUACUAGUAUAAAUGGGUUGUGGUCGCUUUUUUUCUCUCUAAAUGUUCCCAACCAGUUUUGUGAAGCUUCUAGAGGCUUUUGACCGUCUUGGGCCAUUAUGCUGUCGAAUUGAGCAGCCCCAGAAUUGCGAGCACAGCCGAAUCACGACCGAGCGCUGGCCUAGUUCUUGGGUCGGCCUGAGCGAGGCGCACGAGCGGUGACACUAUCCUCUACUUCUAGUAUCUUAGUUGGUAGUCUCCGCCGAUCAAUUUUUGUUUCACUUAUCAUGAUUUUUUUCGUCCUCCCUUUCACCUUCCACCUGAACCGACGAGCUGCAAAAAAAAAAACUCAAAGUAAACCACCUAGGAUGCCUCUACUUACUCCCCUCGCAAGCAACAGAACCAGACGAAAAAAAAUCUACAAAGAAAAAUCAGCGAAAAAAACGGGCACGACCCGCACGCACGCACGGCAGAACGCACGGUGCCUUGAGCGACUACCUCCCGCACGCAAAAAAAAACGCACCCACCACCUCCGCUCUCCUCCUAGGGCGACACUGGGGCGCCCCCCAACCCUAGCCGUCACAGACCCCCACCACAACCACGCCUUCGCCGCCGGUGGCGGCGAAGGCGGCUCCUCAAAGCAGGGACGCGUCUCCCGUCGAAAUCCAAGUCCGUUCGCGCGAGCUUCUCCGCCCCUCGAUCCGAUCUUCACCUUCGCUCAUGGUGGCCGUCAGCUGGCCUCCCGCCGGCGGCCAACUUGAUCUGCGCGGCACUCGGCUGCCCGCAUGGCCCACCUCCUCCCCAUCGCGGCACUCGUUGGCCGCCGUUGGGCCUGCUUGCGGCGCACAGGUCGGGUCACGCGCGACGGCUACAUCAUCGCCGGAUCUGUCUUUCCGUCCGACUGCGACCCCAACCCCAGCACCCUCAAUCCACCGCCCGCUUCCCCCACUCCCGCUUGACUCCAUGGGGCCCUAAGGUCGAUAGCGCCGAGGAGGAGUCAGAGACGGCACUGGGGGAAAGAGCAGCGAGGCCGGAGGCCCAGACGGCGCUCGCGUCAUGUGUCUAACGCUGCUCGUCGACCCUCGUUAUCGUCCUCAAUCUAGCAUGAUGUGUGAAGAUCUGAGACAGAAAAGAAGAUGAAGAAUUUUGACAAAGAGUUGGGUCAUGGGGAACAAGCAGGGUUUAUUUCCUCGGUUAGUUGCUGGGUCAUCUAUGUCGUUGACUAUUAAGGUUACGUUCCUUCCCACUCCCUCUUUUGGUUUCUUCCUGUUGGAAGUGAUGUGGCCUAAAUCUUUCUUUGUCACCCUUUUGAUAUGUGUUCUUAUGAAAGAUAGUGAUUGGAGUU